This 863-nucleotide ribosomal RNA is filed under the name Microhyla berdmorei (Pegu rice frog). RNAcentral's name for it is "partial large subunit ribosomal RNA". It matches the Rfam family "Bacterial large subunit ribosomal RNA", at positions 1111 to 2574 of the family's 2925-position model. The record is from RNAcentral. Lineage: Eukaryota; Metazoa; Chordata; Amphibia; Anura; Microhylidae.
AGCAGCCACCUUUAAAAAAGCGUUAAAGCUUCAUUGUUUAUUAAAAAAUUCCAUUAACUACAUAAAACCCUUAACUCUGUACUAAAUAAUUUUAUAACUAUAUAAAAGCCCGUAUGUUGGAACUAGUAACAAGAAGAAAUCCUUCUCCAAAAUGUAAGCAUAAGCCAGAAUGAACCCCUCACUGGCAAUUAAAGUCAAUAAAACCCUAGAAGUAACUUAUCAAGAAAACCCUUCUACUGUAAACGUUAACCUUACACCAGCACAUUUCUGGAAAGAAAAAAAGAGGGGGAAGGAACUCGGCAAAUAAUUUAACCCCGCCUGUUUACCAAAAACAUCGCCUCUUGCUAACUAUAAGAGGUCCAGCCUGCCCAGUGACAAAGUUAAACGGCCGCGGUACCCUAACCGUGCAAAGGUAGCGCAAUCACUUGUUCUUUAAAUGAGGACUAGUAUGAACGGCAUCACGAGGGUUAUACUGUCUCCCCCCUUUUUUCAGUGAAACUGAUCUUCCCGUGAAGAAGCGGGAAUAUUAAUAUAAGACGAGAAGACCCCAUGGAGCUUUAAACUCAGGAUCAACUGCCACAAACUUAACCUAAUAACCAUGCAGGAAUGACUUCUAGUUUUCGGUUGGGGUGACCGCGGAGUAAAAUAAAACCUCCACGACGAAAGGAACUAACCGCCUAAACCAAGAGCCACAGCUCUAAGUAUUAAAACAUUAACCUAAUUGAUCCAAUUACUUGAUCAACGAACCAAGUUACCCUGGGGAUAACAGCGCAAUCCAUUUCAAGAGCUCAUAUCGACAAAUGGGUUUACGACCUCGAUGUUGGAUCAGGAUAUCCAAGUGGCGCAGCCGCUACUAACGGUUC